CAUUGAUGCUGCAGGUGCUUAGGCCUUAUUUUCCAUCUGUUCUUUGCUCACCUAAGCUAUUCUCCACGUUUGGUCUUUUCACUCAUAAAAGAUCAAAACAUCUGUCCAGUAGUUGAAGAUAAAAGAGGCCCCUUUUUAUUUCAGACCCUAGCACCCCUUUAGUGCUGUCAAUGCUAAAAGCAUACAUGGUACACAGACUAGCAAAU
Pelobates cultripes (western spadefoot toad) is the source of this 206-nucleotide non-coding RNA. The record is from the annotation of a GenBank genome assembly. NCBI's taxonomy places the organism in Eukaryota, Metazoa, Chordata, Amphibia, Anura, Pelobatidae.